GGGGGUGCAUCGGGCCUGGUGGCCUGCCUGGACUUCAAAUCCAGCUGGCGCGCGGGUCAAACCCGGGCGCGGUGGGUUCGAUUCCCACACACUCCCGCCA
Molecule: transfer RNA, 100 nt
Filed under: Clostridia bacterium
Lineage: Bacteria; Bacillati; Bacillota; Clostridia
Description: tRNA-Sec
Rfam family: Selenocysteine transfer RNA
Source: RNAcentral